GGGAGGGUGGUGAGUGUGCAAAGGGGUGUGCAAGGGGGAUGAGUGUGCAUGGGGGGGUGCACGUAGGGGUGGCGGUAGUGGUGUGCAGGUGCACGUGGGUGAGUGUGCAAGGGUGGGUGGGUGCACGUGGGCAUGCAUGUGCUCGUGGGUGGGUGUGCACAGGUGUGUGAGUGCACGUGGGUGUGCGCAUGGGUGUGCAUGUGCACCAUGCGGGUGUGUGCACAGGUGUGGGUGUGCAUGUGGGUGAGUGUGCACAGGUGUGGGUGUGCGUGCACGGGUGUGGGUGUGCACGUGGGCGUGCAUCUCCACAUAGGAAAGUGAGAGUGCACACGUGUGUGAGUGCACGUGGGUGUGCACAUGGGUGUGCAUGUGCACCAUGCGAGUCUGUGCACAGGUGUGGGUGUGCAUGUGGGUGAGUGUGCACAGGUGUGGGUGUGCACGUGGGCGUGCAUCUGCACAUGGGUAAGUGAGAGUGCACACGUGUGUGAGUCCACGUGGGUGUGCACAUGAGUGUGCAUGUGCACCACGUGGGUCUGUGCACAGGUGUAGGUGUGCAUAUGGGUGAGUGUGCACAGGUGUGUGAGUGCACUUGGGUGUGCACGAGUGUGCAUGUGCACCACGUGGGUGUGUGCACAGGUGCUGGUGUGCAUGUGGGUGUGCAUGUGCACGUGGGCGAGUGUGCACAGGUGUGGGUGUACACUGGGAAGUGUGUGUGUGCACGGGUAUCUGUGCAUUGGGGAGUGUGUUUGCACAUGGGGGGGUGUGCAGGUCUGUGGAGGGAUGUGGGUGUGCACACAGGUGUGCACACUCAAGUGUGAGCGCACUUCUGCACGGUUGUGCGUGCACGGAGGUGGUUGUGCACGUGGGUGUGCAUUGGGGUGGGUGUGCACGGAUAUGUGUGAGUGCACAUGGGUGUGCACAGAGAUGGGCGUGUGCAUGCAGAGAGAUCUGUGUGGGCACAUGGGUGUGCAUUGGGGUGCACGCACCUGGGUGUGUGCAUGGGAUGUGUGCACACGGGUGGAUGUGCAAGGCUGUGGGUGUGCACUUGAGUGUGAACACAAAUGUGCGUGCACAGGUGACGGUGUGCUACCGCACAUGGCUUCGCAUGCACAGAUGUGUGCGUGUGCACGUGGGUGUGCACACGGGGGUGUGCACCAGUUUGGGUGUGGAUGGGGGCAGACGUGCAAGGGGGUGGGUGUGCACGGAGGUGGGUGUGCACAUGGGUGUGCACGGCGAUGUGAGCACCUGUGUGAGUGUGCAUGUGUGCAAGGAUGUGUGUGCAUGGUUGUGCAUGCAUGUGGGAGUGUGUGCACGUUUGUGCAUGCGUGCUUGGAUAUGUGUGUGCAUGGGAUAUAUGUGCACAGUUGUGUGUGCACAUGGGCGUGCGGGCACGUUUGUGCACGUGUGCAGGGACGUGUGUGCACGUGGGUGUGUGUACAUGGGGUAUGUGUGCAUGGUUGUGCGUGCACGUGGGUGUACGUGCACGUUUGUGCAUGUGUGCUUAGAUGUGUGCGUGUGCAUGGGAUUUGUGCACACUUGUGCGUGCGCAUGGGUGUGCGGGCACAUUUGUGCACGUGUGCAUGGUUGUGUGUGCAUGUGGGCCUGUGUACAUGGGAUAUGUGUACAUGGUUGUGCACACACGUGGGAGCACAUGCACGUUUGUGCAUGUGUGCUUGGAUGUGUGUGUGCAUGGGAUUUGUGCACACUUUUGCGUGCACAUGGGUGUGCAUGCACAUUUGUGCACAUGUGCAUGGUUGUGCGUGCACGUGGGCGUGUGUGCAUGGGAUAUGUGUGCAUGGUUGUGCGUGCACGUGGGCGUGUGCAUGGAUGUGUGUGUGCACGGCGGUGGUGGGUGCGCGUGCACGGGUGUAGGUGUGCACGGGGGCGUGCACGGGGCCACACGCACUUGGGUUCCCUCGGGUGCGUGUGCACGGGGGUGUGCACGUGGGGUGCGGGUGUAGGUGUGCACUUGGGGGGGGCUGUGUGCACAGACGUGCACGGGGGUGCCCACGUGAGUGUGACAAUGGUGACAAUGGGGGUGUGUGUGUGGGGGGGGGUGCACACUGGGGCCAGUGGUCACCAUGGCGACCGCAUCCCUGGGUUUGGGUGGCAGCGGUCGCCGUGGCAACCGAGAUGCGAC
RNAcentral lists this long non-coding RNA (2140 nucleotides) under Numida meleagris (helmeted guineafowl). RNAcentral's name for it is "lncRNA (ENSNMEG00000001408.1)". The record is from RNAcentral. Lineage: Eukaryota; Metazoa; Chordata; Aves; Galliformes; Numididae.